Peromyscus maniculatus bairdii (prairie deer mouse) is the source of this 345-nucleotide long non-coding RNA. RefSeq lists it as uncharacterized. The record is from RefSeq and is a predicted model, not a curated record. Lineage: Eukaryota; Metazoa; Chordata; Mammalia; Rodentia; Cricetidae.
AAACACAUGAACUAUGAACCAAAGGCUGAGGGGACCCCAACUGGAUCAGGCCCUCUGAAUAGCAUAAAUGGAUCAUGGUUUGAGCACACCCAUGGCUGGCUGUCCAUGAAAGAAUGGGACAACUUCCUGGUACUGAGUCAUGAAGACAUGAAGAAGGUCAGCCUCGUUCUUAAAGGCACCACACAGUUGAAGACGAGAGGAAGCGGUCCUUCAGCCACUGUUUACUUUAUAGAAGUGAAGUCUGGUGAUGAGGACGUUUCUGAUAGUUGUGAUUUCUUGUUUGUUUGUUUUUGGUUUGGAGAUUUUCUUUUUAUUAUAUUUUUAAUAUUAAAAUGAUUUUUAUCA